CAUUCGCUGUGAAUCUCCACCCCGUAUUGAACAUGGAGAUGUUAUGGAGCUUUCAGGUGCACACGAAUUAAGAGUUCAGUGUGCGAGACUUUAUAAACUCGUAGGACCUGAAACAGUAACAUGUGUGAAUAAAAAGUGGACGGAGCUCCCAGUGUGUAAACCUCCGUGUGAACAGGAGGAAACUGGGGAAUAUUUGAUGGAGGGUGAAAAGAAGAAAGUGUUUUGCGAUAAAAUAAAAAAAAUUAAAAAAAAGACUGUCCAGUGUGUGAAUGGACAGCUUCAAAUAAGUGAAUGUAGAUUCAUGUGGCCUUGGGAGUGACCUGCAUCAACAGCUGAACCUGAAAGAGCUCCUGCUGCCCAUCAGAAAUCUUCCUUCUCACCUGUUUUAUUCCUGAGUUAUAAUUCAGCAGUUGGAGUUUAGUAGUUACAGUGAAGCUUAAAGAAACAUCUACACACUGUAUACAUCUCAUUUCAAUAUUAUUAAAUAUAAAGAAAAAUGAAUAAAGUUUAUGAUCAAAUGAUGAUA
Long non-coding RNA from Silurus meridionalis, 526 nucleotides. RefSeq lists it as uncharacterized. Lineage: Eukaryota; Metazoa; Chordata; Actinopteri; Siluriformes; Siluridae. The record is from RefSeq and is a predicted model, not a curated record. The transcript has 4 exons.